GAUGAACGCUGGCGGCGUGCCUAAUACAUGCAAGUCGAGCGAAUGGAUUAAGAGCUUGCUCUUAUGAAGUUAGCGGCGGACGGGUGAGUAACACGUGAGUAACCUGCCCAUAAGACUGGGAUAACUCCGGGAAACCGGGGCUAAUACCGGAUAACAUUUUGAACCGCAUGGUUCGAAAUUGAAAGGCGGCUUCGGCUGUCACAUAUGGAUGGACCCGCGUCGCAUUAGCUAGUUGGUGAGGUAACGGCUCACCAAGGCAACGAUGCGUAGCCGACCUGAGAGGGUGAUCGGCCACACUGGGACUGAGACACGGCCCAGAAUCCUACGGGAGGCAGCAGUAGGGAAUCUUCCGCAAUGGACGAAAGUCUGACGGAGCAACGCCGCGUGAGUGAUGAAGGCUUUCGGGUCGUAAAACUCUGUUGUUAGGGAAGAACAAGUGCUAGUUGAAUAAGCUGGCACCUUGACGGUACCUAACCAGAAAGCCACGGCUAACUACGUGCCAGCCGCCGCAGUAA
RNAcentral lists this ribosomal RNA (515 nucleotides) under uncultured bacterium. Its description in RNAcentral is "partial 16S ribosomal RNA". It matches the Rfam family "Bacterial small subunit ribosomal RNA", at positions 28 to 523 of the family's 1533-position model. The record is from RNAcentral.